RNAcentral lists this long non-coding RNA (1028 nucleotides) under Vulpes vulpes (red fox). RNAcentral's name for it is "lncRNA (ENSVVUG00000006532.1)". The record is from RNAcentral. Lineage: Eukaryota; Metazoa; Chordata; Mammalia; Carnivora; Canidae.
GUGAAGCUGACUCUCUGCUGAGCAGGAAGCCUGACUCAAGACUCCAUUCCAGGAACUUGGGAUCAUGACCCGAGCUCAAGGCAGAUGCUUAACUGACUGAGCUACCCAAGUGCCCCUAGAGGUGUUGUUGUUAGGAUUCAACGAAAAUAAUAAUUGCUCAAUCUAAGUAAUGAAUCUAAAAGAAUGAAAAGGUCGCAUAUACAAAGGUGUUUAUUUUGUAAUCACUUAUAAUUUAAAACUUUGAAAGUCACUUCAGUGUCUGUCAGUAAGAGAUCCAUGAGGCAUAUUACCGAAUAGCCGUUUGGUGAAAUGUUUUGCAGCUAUUAAAUGAACACUUGUGAAGAUCCUGCAGCAAAAUAGAAUGAACAGAAGUUCCAAAUAGCAUAAAUUAAAAACAUAAAAAACCCCAAAUUUAUUAAUAGCAUGAUUAAAACAUAAAAUGGAAGUAUGAAAGAAAUAAGGAAGAGGAUCCCGACUGUGGGAAUGGGUUGUCGAGUUUUACAUCUUUUCUCUUGUUAAGUUUUUCUAUUCUGUUAUGAUAUUGCUUUUAUAAUUAAAAUGCAGUAGCUUUAUUAAUUACCCUUAGUUUUCCUAUUUAUGAAAGAAUCGUUACUUUAAAAAACCGAGCUAAUUCAGAAAACCAUGAAUAAUAAAAUGAAAAUUACCCUUAAUCCUGCCGUGUGUAUUUUAAUUUGCACUGCUGUAGUUUUUUCAAAAUUAGCCUUGCUUGGCUUCUGGUUUACCCCUUGGCCUGCUUCUCAGGCGGUGGCUUUUGCAUCUCCUCCUUGUCUUUGAUCUUUCCAGAUGAGCCUCUUCUCCCUCUUCCAGGAGCCGUGCAUGCCUGCUUUAUUGAGAACACCAGGAAGCCCUUUUUUUGAAAUGUUCUUGUGUCUCCUGUCAAAAAUGAUUUUGAGAGGUGAACUGUGGCCGCACAACUUCCAGGAACAUGCACAGCUCUAGCACCUUGUCCUGUGUUUUGCACUGUGUCACUCAGCACUGUCUCCGAAUAAGAUUGGGAGUCCCUUUUA